RNAcentral lists this ribosomal RNA (253 nucleotides) under uncultured bacterium. RNAcentral describes it as "partial 16S ribosomal RNA". It matches the Rfam family "Bacterial small subunit ribosomal RNA", at positions 524 to 776 of the family's 1533-position model. The record is from RNAcentral.
UACGUAGGGGGCAAGCGUUGUCCGGAUUUAUUGGGCGUAAAGAGCGUGUAGGCGGCCAGACAGGUCCGUUGUGAAAACUAGAGGCUUAACCUCUAGACGUCGAUGGAAACCGUCUGGCUAGAGUCCGGAAGAGGAGAAUGGAAUUCCUGGUGUAGCGGUGAAAUGCGUAGAUAUCAGGAGGAACACCGGUGGCGAAGGCGGCCCUCUGGACGGUGACUGACGCUGAGGUGCGAAAGCGUGGGUAGCAAACAGG